GAUGAAGAACGCAGCGAAAUGCGAUACGUAAUGUGAAUUGCAGAAUUCAGUGAAUCAUCGAAUCUUUGAACGCAUAUUGCGCUCUCUGGUAUUCCGGAGAGCAUGCUUGUUUGAGUAUCAGUAAACAUCUCAACUCCCUUUUCUUUUUUGAAAUUGGAGCUGGACUUGAGUGAUCCCAACGCUUUCUUCCAAGAAAGUGGCGGGUUGCUUGAAAUGCAGGUGCAGCUGAACUUUUCUCUGAGCUAUAAGCAUAUCUAUUUAGUCUGCCUAAAAAACAGAUUAUUACCUUUGCUGCAGCUAACAUAAAGGAGACUAGUUCUUGUGCUGACUGAUGCAGGAUUCACAGAGACAGCUUCGGCUGACUUUGUAAACUCGAUCUCAAAUCAAGUAAGACUACCCGCUGAACUUAAGCAUAUCAAUAAGCGGAGGA
Molecule: unclassified non-coding RNA, 430 nt
Filed under: soil metagenome
Description: partial contains 5.8S ribosomal RNA, internal transcribed spacer 2, and large subunit ribosomal RNA
Rfam family: 5.8S ribosomal RNA (bases 1-120)
Source: RNAcentral